CCUACGGGAGGCAGCAGUGAGGAAUAUUGGUCAAUGGUCGGGAGACUGAACCAGCCAAGCCGCGUGAGGGAUGAAGGUACAGAGUAUCGUAAACCUCUUUUGUCAGGGAACAAAGGCGGGGACGUGUCCCCGGAUGAGUGUACCUGAAGAAAAAGCAUCGGCUAACUCCGUGCCAGCAGCCGCGGUAAUACGGAGGAUGCGAGCGUUAUCCGGAUUUAUUGGGUUUAAAGGGUGCGCAGGCGGUCUGUUAAGUCAGCGGUCAAAGCCCGGGGCUCAACCCCGGCCCGCCGUUGAAACUGGCAGUCUGGAGUUGGAGAGAAGUAGGCGGAAUGCGCGGUGUAGCGGUGAAAUGCAUAGAUAUCGCGCAGAACUCCGAUUGCGAAGGCAGCAUACCGGCGCGCAACUGACGCUCAUGCACGAAAGCGUGGGUAUCGAACAGGAUUAGAGACCCGGGUAGUC
This 459-nucleotide ribosomal RNA is filed under the name uncultured bacterium. RNAcentral describes it as "partial 16S ribosomal RNA". It matches the Rfam family "Bacterial small subunit ribosomal RNA", at positions 338 to 795 of the family's 1533-position model. The record is from RNAcentral.